UACAGAGGUCCCAAGCGUUGUUCGGAUUCACUGGGCGUAAAGGUUGCGUAGGCGGUCGGGUAAGUCUGAUGUGAAAUCUCACAGCUUAACUGUGAAACUGCAUUGGAUACUAUCCGGCUCGAGGAAUGGAGGGGAGACUGGAAUACUUGGUGUAGCAGUGAAAUGCGUAGAUAUCAAGUGGAACACCAGUGGCGAAGGCGAGUAUCUGGACAUUUCCUGACGCUGAGGCACGAAAGCCAGGGGAGCAAACGGG
RNAcentral lists this ribosomal RNA (253 nucleotides) under uncultured bacterium. RNAcentral describes it as "partial 16S ribosomal RNA". It matches the Rfam family "Bacterial small subunit ribosomal RNA", at positions 524 to 776 of the family's 1533-position model. The record is from RNAcentral.